UACGUAGGGGGCAGGCGUUAUCCGGAUUUACUGGGUGUAAAGGGAGCGUAGACGGCAGAGCAAGUCUGAAGUGAAAGCCUGCGGCCCAACUGCGGGACUGCUUUGGAAACUGCCCGGCUAGAGUGCUGGAGAGGUAAGCGGAAUUCCUAGUGUAGCGGUGAAAUGCGUAGAUAUUAGGAGGAACACCAGUGGCGAAGGCGGCUUACUGGACAGUAACUGACGUUGAGGCUCGAAAGCGUGGGGAGCAAACAGG
RNAcentral lists this ribosomal RNA (253 nucleotides) under uncultured bacterium. RNAcentral describes it as "partial 16S ribosomal RNA". It matches the Rfam family "Bacterial small subunit ribosomal RNA", at positions 524 to 776 of the family's 1533-position model. The record is from RNAcentral.